AGAAAACGUGUCUCACGAAACUGC
RNAcentral lists this non-coding RNA (24 nucleotides) under Arabidopsis thaliana (thale cress). Lineage: Eukaryota; Viridiplantae; Streptophyta; Magnoliopsida; Brassicales; Brassicaceae. The record is from RNAcentral.